CCAGAAAUGAAUAGCCUCAUCAGACUGGUUUGGUUUGAAUUGAAUUGCAUUGGAGUGUGGAAACUAUUACCAGUAGUGCAGAUUGGUCAUGUCAUUCGGUCAUUGUGCACUGUUCAUUUCAGCCUUAUUGUUUUCGUAUUUAUGCUCUUAAAUUCAGCCUAGGUGCUUGUUGCUUUAUCUUCCUCCGUUGGGUUCGCAAGGCUAUCAGAUUUCAUUUCCUCGGUUUUGGUUGUAUCUCUCUGUCCUCAGUCACCUUCUGCUGCUGCUCCAACCUUCAGGUGUUUUCGGGAGAACCAAUUGACUGCUGUUUGUCUCUCUUCUCUUUGACACAAGUUCAAAUGGCAGCUAGCAAACCAGCAUUUUUUCAGGUCCUCAUUGGUGAUUUCUGCCGGCGCCUGAGAAUACCAAAUGCGUUUGUGGAAGAGUUCAUGGGAACACCGCCUUGUAAAUGUGUUCUUAAAGGUCCCGAUGGACAAAGCUGGAAUGUGCCACUGGAAGAGAGAGAAAGUGGCUUGUUCUUUUGUAAGGGUU
Argentina anserina (silverweed cinquefoil) is the source of this 531-nucleotide long non-coding RNA. RefSeq lists it as uncharacterized. The transcript is spliced from 3 exons. Lineage: Eukaryota; Viridiplantae; Streptophyta; Magnoliopsida; Rosales; Rosaceae. The record is from RefSeq and is a predicted model, not a curated record.